This 923-nucleotide long non-coding RNA is filed under the name Homo sapiens (human). RNAcentral describes it as "HSALNT0371866". Lineage: Eukaryota; Metazoa; Chordata; Mammalia; Primates; Hominidae. The record is from RNAcentral.
CCUGAAGCCGGGGAGGGAGGCCCAGGGCGGGCUCCGCGCGUCCAGCCGCGGGUGGGUGUCUGCGCCGCUGGGGGUUCCAGAGAAUUCUCAACCGUCCCCCUCUCUCCCCCCGGGACAGCGUCUCUAUUCCAACCUGGCACGGACGCCAGGAGCUCGCGCUACGAGUCAUUUUAAAAAGAAAACACAAUUUACGUGUGAAAGUCGAGACGAGAAAGCUCGCGGGUGCCCGUUAGGAUUUGUGGGGCAGCAGACUGUGGCUUCCAGAACCGACUGUGCCCGAGGAUAAGGCCUGAACUUCAACAACCUGCAAGUGGGUUGAGCAACCCGUUUCACCGUUGAGGAGACAGAGCGCUGGCCCAGCCUGGACCCGGAGCUGAGGUUCCUGUUUCCUGGCUCACCUGGAGGCUCCUGCAGUUGGCCAGAUGAGACCCUGACGUGGAAACAAAUCUCUCGGGCACAGGCACACUUCAGGGCUUUAAAGAGGUGCAUUCACCUGUUGAAGAUGGUGGUCCAGGCAGGAAAAGAGCAGGGGCUGCUGCUGACUUGUUCCCCAGGAGCACAGGAGAGGAGGCUUCGAGACCCACAUGUGUCCUGUGGCUGCUCCACCCACACCGGGGUCUGACCCCAGCGGAUCAGCAGAGAGAGCGGCCCAGAGCAGGAGGCCCAGCCCAGGGCAGCUGGGGUCUGCAGGGCUCCCCUCCAGAGGCCGCACCUCAGACCUUGGCAGCAGCCCCCAGCUCUGUGGAUCCUCCAGGAGAUUUUCCCAAGCUCCAGCCCCAACCCUUUAAUUCACACUGGGAAGAGCCUCAAAGAACCCGGCAGGGACGGAGCUCCCCCGACCCUCUGGGCAAAGAUCAACUUGGUUAAAAGGGCCUCCAGCUGAAACCCAUCUCCUGGGGAAAUGUAUUAAAACAGAAACUCUG